GGGCCCGCACAAGCAGUGGAGUAUGUGGUUUAAUUCGAAGCAACGCGAAGAACCUUACCAGGUCUUGACAUCCAACUAACGAGGCAGAGAUGCGUUAGGUGCCCUUCGGGGAAAGUUGAGACAGGUGGUGCAUGGUUGUCGUCAGCUCGUGUCGUGAGAUGUUGGGUUAAGUCCCGCAACGAGCGCAACCCUUGUGAUUAGUUGCUACGCAAGAGCACUCUAAUCAGACUGCCGUUGACAAAACGGAGGAAGGUGGGGACGACGUCAAAUCAUCAUGCCCUUUAUGACCUGGGCUACACACGUACUACAAUGGCCAUUAACAACGGGAAGCGAGACCGCGAGGUGGAGCAAAACCCCAAAAAUGGCCUCAGUUCGGAUCGCAGGCUGCAACCCGCCUGCGUGAAGCUGGAAUUGCUAGUAAUCGCGGAUCAUCAUGCCGCGGUGAAUACGUUCCCGGGCCUUGUACACACCGCCCGUCACACCAUGGGAGCCGGUAAUACCCGAAGUCGGUAGUCUAACCGCAAGGAGGACGCCGCCGAAGGUAGGAUUGGCGACUGGGGUGAAGUCGUAACAAGGUAGCCGUAUCGGAAGGUGCGGCU
Molecule: ribosomal RNA, 599 nt
Filed under: uncultured bacterium
Lineage: Bacteria
Description: bacterial SSU rRNA
Rfam family: Bacterial small subunit ribosomal RNA
Source: RNAcentral